This 305-nucleotide ribosomal RNA is filed under the name uncultured bacterium. RNAcentral describes it as "bacterial SSU rRNA". It matches the Rfam family "Bacterial small subunit ribosomal RNA", at positions 334 to 656 of the family's 1533-position model. The record is from RNAcentral.
CUUACCUACGGGAGGCAGCAGUGGGGAAUAUUGCACAAUGGGGGAAACCCUGAUGCAGCGACGCCGCGUGAGCGAAGAAGUAUUUCGGUAUGUAAAGCUCUAUCAGCAGGGAAGAAAAAUGACGGUACCUGAGUAAGAAGCACCGGCUAAAUACGUGCCAGCAGCCGCGGUAAUACGUAUGGUGCAAGCGUUAUCCGGAUUUACUGGGUGUAAAGGGAGCGCAGGCGGUGCGGCAAGUCAGCGGUAAAAUUUCGGGGCUCAACCCCGACGAGCCGUUGAAACUGGCUUGCUAGAGUGGUCGAGAA